RNAcentral lists this ribosomal RNA (854 nucleotides) under uncultured archaeon. RNAcentral's name for it is "bacterial SSU rRNA". It matches the Rfam family "Archaeal small subunit ribosomal RNA", at positions 85 to 922 of the family's 1478-position model. The record is from RNAcentral.
ACUGCUCAGUAACACGUGGCUAACCUGCCCUUGGGACAAGGACAACUCCGGGAAACUGGGGCUAAUCCCUGAUAGGUGAGAACUCCUGGAAUGGAUUCUCGCUCAAAAGGCGCUUAGACCAUGCUUCUAGGCGUCGCCCAAGGAGGGGGCCGCGGCCGAUCAGGUUGUUGGUGAGGUAACGGCUCACCAAGCCUUUAACCGGUACGGGCCGUGAGAGCGGAAGCCCGGAGAUGGGCACUGAGACAAGGGCCCAGGCCCUACGGGGCGCAGCAGUCGCGAAAACUCCGCAAUACACGAAAGUGUGACGGGGCUAUCCCGAGUGCCAUCCGCUGAGGAUGGCUUUUCCCUAGUGUAUAAAGCUGGGGGAAUAAGGAGAGGGCAAGCCUGGUGUCAGCCGCCGCGGUAAUACCAGCUCUCCGAGUGGUGAGGAUGUUUAUUGGGCCUAAAGCAUUCGUAGCCUGCUUGGCAAGUCCUCCGUUAAAUCCAACGAUUCAAUCGUUGGGCUGCGGGGGAUACUGCCCGGCUAGGGGGCGGGAGAGGCCGACGGUAUCCUCGGGGUAGGGGUGAAAUCCUAUAAUCCCGGGAGGACCACCAGUGGCGAAGGCUGUCGGCUAGAACGCGCUCGACGGUGAGGGAUGAAAGCUGGGGGAGCGAACCGGAUUAGAUACCCGGGUAGUCCCAGCUGUAAACGAUGCAGGCUAGGUGUUGGCGCGGCUACGUGCCGCUCCAGUGCCGCAGGGAAGCCGUUAAGCCUGCCGCCUGGGAAGUACGGCCGCAAGGCUGAAACUUAAAGGAAUUGGCGGGGGAGCACCACAAGGUGUGAAGCUUGCGGUUUAAUUGGAGUCAACGCCGGA